This 114-nucleotide non-coding RNA is filed under the name Platyophrya macrostoma. Lineage: Eukaryota; Ciliophora; Colpodea; Cyrtolophosidida; Platyophryidae. The record is from RNAcentral.
CAACAACACAAACAACGAAAAAAACACACAACAACGAAAAAAACAAAAAAAACGAAACCGUCUGUCUUCUUUUUUUAUUUCUCUCCUCUUCUGUCACAUCAUCCCAUCACCUGA